RNAcentral lists this ribosomal RNA (319 nucleotides) under uncultured Prevotella sp. RNAcentral describes it as "bacterial SSU rRNA". It matches the Rfam family "Bacterial small subunit ribosomal RNA", at positions 28 to 339 of the family's 1533-position model. The record is from RNAcentral. Lineage: Bacteria; Pseudomonadati; Bacteroidota; Bacteroidia; Bacteroidales; Prevotellaceae.
GAUGAACGCUAGCUACAGGCUUAACACAUGCAAGUCGAGGGGCAGCAUGGGAGUUGCUUGCAACUCUUGAUGGCGACCGGCGCACGGGUGAGUAACGCGUAUCCAACCUUCCCCCUGGUAGGGCAUAGCCCGUAGAAAUGCGGAUUAACACCCUAUGUUGUGCAUUGAGGACAUCUGAGGAGCACUAAAGUUUGACGCCAUGGGAUGGGGAUGCGUCCGAUUAGCUUGUUGGCGGGGUAACGGCCCACCAAGCCUGCGAUCAGUAGGGGUUCUGAGAGGAAGGUCCCCCACAUUGGUACUGAGACACGGACCAAACUCC